CGGACGGGUGAGUAAUGUAUGGGGAUCUGCCUGAUGGCGGGGGAUAACUACUGGAAACGGUAGCUAAUACCGCAUAAUGUCUGCGGACCAAAGCGGGGGACCUCCGGGCCUCGCGCCACCAGAUGAACCCAUAUGGGAUUAGCUAGUAGGUAAGGUAACGGCUUACCUAGGCGACGAUCCCUAGCUGGUCUGAGAGGAUGAUCAGCCACACUGGGACUGAGACACGGCCCAG
This 232-nucleotide ribosomal RNA is filed under the name uncultured bacterium. RNAcentral's name for it is "partial 16S ribosomal RNA". It matches the Rfam family "Bacterial small subunit ribosomal RNA", at positions 99 to 334 of the family's 1533-position model. The record is from RNAcentral.